CCUCAAUUCAAUUUCCCUACUUUGAUUUAGCUUGAUUUGUAAUCUGUCAAUGAGCUGCCAUGACUUUCGGUUGCUUUCUCCUAAUUAGCUUUGCUUUUGCUACGAAACUGCAGUUUCAGCUUCAGAGAGCUCCUCUUCAUCAUGUUUCUUUUCUUUUUUCCAAGUCAAUCAGCAAAUUCACAACUAUUUUUUUUGUGUUUCACUUAGUUCAGCUUCCGCUUAGCUGUACCCUUUACACCUUUUACCUUUUGCUCUAGCUAUCAGCUUAACGCAUUCAUUAGUUCUGUCGUCCAAAAGCUUUCCCACCGACCAAAAAAAAAAACAAAAAACGACCAUAAAGACCAUAAUUAGCUAUCGUAGAGUAAAGACUCUGUCCUAAAGGGGCGCAACUCUCGUGAAGUUUUUUUUUUUGCAGAAAAUCACUUGAAAAUGUUUGCCACGUUUUUGUUUUUGAUUUCUAUGUUGCAAAACACUUAAAAGUAAUUUGAACUAAAUUGGAUUUUGUACGGUUUGCCAAUCAAGCGAGACAAACAAAAAAAACAAAAAACACAAAAAUCGAGGCUAAAAAGACCUUCGAGUCUAUAGUUUAAUUUAUAGAUCUAGAUCUAUACACCUGUGUUGUUGUGAAGUUAAUGUCCGAAUAUUAUAUAAAAAAAAUAAAUUUGCGCAAAAUUUCAAAACAGUUUCAAAUAUUAUGAUUAAAGCAAUUUUUGCUCAAGAGCCGCUGUCACAAUAAUGUAUCUAUUGAAUGCAUAUCUGUGGAGAUCUAUAGAUCGGCUUUGCGAAAUUUUGUGAAUAGAUUUGCUUGUCAUUAAUAUUAUUUGUACAUUUUGAUUUUGUGUUGAAUGGUAGUCUCAAGUCACACGCUGUCGUCGUCGACGAGGAGGAGAACGAAUGAGAAAAGAGAGGGGGGGAGACGGAAGUGGGUUAAACUCCCAUAUAACAUAAAUAUUGGGAGCCGACUUCACGCAACUUAGGCAAAUGAAAGACGUCAUAAAAUUGCUAAUAGGUUAAGGUAUAAAUAAAAAGUAGAGAGAGAAAAAAACAAAACAUGAAGAUACAACAAGCUGUGCCCAAUUUUUUAUAUUUUUUUAUUUAUCAAUUCGAUCGAACCUACAACGUUUCAUUCAUUCAACUGCCGCCACUUUUAUUAUCAAUUUGGAAAAAAAAAGAGUUACGAAGGAAAAAAAAACAUAGAUUUUGACAAGCUCUCAUAACGAGAAAGUUUAACUCGAGUUAACUCAAUUCGAGUCGAUUACACACACAAUCACAUUUACAUAGCAUCGAUAGGCAAAUGAGUGUGGUGUGUGUGUGUUCCAUAUCAUAUCAUAUCAUAUGAUAUGAUAUGUCACACGCUCAAUCAAAACCUAAACAGUUUUCAAUUUGCCACAUCAACAACAACUUGAUGAAGAUCGAUUUUGCAAAGCGAAAGAGUUUAUUUUUGUUUAUAGAUCGCGUUGCUCAAAUAUACUAUAUACCAUAUAUAGUAUAUAGUAUAUAGUCGAUGCACUCUUGAAUUGUUUUUAAGUCUUUGUAUUGAUUUCAAUAUUUAACAAUUUUGCAAUUUUUUACUCUUUCGCUGCCCGGCUUUUGUUCAUUUCAAUUUUAUUGUUUGGAUUUAUGCGGAAUUAAUUUCAUUUGUUUGUUAUUGUUGCCUCAGUUUUGUUGUUGUUGUUGUGGGUUUUUUUUUGUUUAGUAUUUUUUCAUACUUUCGGGAAUCGUGUCUAGGGCAAUGUUCGAGCCAGAAAGUUUAGUGAUCUUUGACGAGAAGAGGCAAUGAACGGAGUCUGUUCAUCAUCAUCUCUCAUCUAUGUAUCUCUCUGCCUGCCCUCAUAUCUCCCUUUCUUUAUUUCUUUUUAUUGUUAUUUCUUCUGUACACUUUGGCAGAUGUGUCAGAUGAGAUUCGCUUUAAGAGUCAACAUCUUUGUGAGGAUUAUGAAAUCAUUUAGGCGAUUACAUAAGCCCAAGGGACAGAGUACAAAGCAUAAAUAUAAUAAAUGUAUAUGUACAUUUGUGGAUAGAGCUGUGGGGAAUGGAAAUAAAAUGCGCAAAUCUUUUGGGUUUGGGUAGUGACUAAACUUGACUCUGAUAAUCGUAUACAUAUUUGUAUUUGUCUAUGAUACGAGCAGCUCAUUAAUAAAUGUUGCGCUUUCAGUGCGUCUCCAAAGCAGUGUCAUAUCAAUCUCAGCUUGUUAGGAAAGUUUUCGCGCUACGAUAUCUUAAGGCUAAAAUAAAUUGUCCCCCAUUAUAUUAUUAUUGAAUUAGUGAGUCCCAUAAAUAA
Drosophila sulfurigaster albostrigata is the source of this 2281-nucleotide long non-coding RNA. RefSeq lists it as uncharacterized. NCBI's taxonomy places the organism in Eukaryota, Metazoa, Arthropoda, Insecta, Diptera, Drosophilidae. The transcript has 2 exons. The record is from RefSeq and is a predicted model, not a curated record.